This is a non-coding RNA of Chelonoidis abingdonii (Abingdon island giant tortoise), 660 nucleotides long. The record is from RefSeq and is a predicted model, not a curated record. Lineage: Eukaryota; Metazoa; Chordata; Testudines; Testudinidae.
UAACUAAAACUCUUGUGUGAGGUUAUUUCCAGUUGUGAGGUUGGGAGGGGAUGUGGAGGCGGAGCAGCAUUUCGGCACAAUAGGAGAAAUUGGGGGGAAAAAGCUGUGUACUAAGGCAACAUCUGUUGGAAAGAAAAUCUGUAGGUAUAAAAUGUAGUUAUAAGUUAUAAAUAAAUGCUUGAGGAAGCAAAAAGUGAGUGCAGAGUUGACUGCGUCAUUUUUGCAUUACCUUUGUAACAGCAAGACUCAUAUUUGCUGAGUGGAUUUGAUGAUAGGCUAGUCGACUCCACUAUGAUUAAAGUGUCAUGACCGCUGAUGUUAACUGCAGAAUUCUAUUGGCUGGAACAAUCAGCUUUUCAUACAGGGGACCUGCAAGGGAGUUUCUCCAUUUAGGACUGGGUGGUUUUGUGAAAGGCCCAGAGCAAAUGCUGCUCUGACAGGAAAUAGCUUACUGAAGUGGUAUGUUUUUACAAAGCACUCUGACAGCAGCAAAUGUGGAACAGAUUUCUAGAGAAGUUGGUGGUUUCCAACUACUCUGGCAUCUUGACUUUCAGCCUUCCUAUCUGCAUGCUAGUAUUCCAGCCACAGAACUUGCUGUGCAUAGGAUUGGUUUGUUUCAAAGAUAAGUAAAGUUCCAUAAGAAAUAGCAUCUUGAUAUGU